RNA transcript from Corapipo altera (White-ruffed manakin), 1016 nucleotides. It is a transcript of the gene named PHD finger protein 7-like, with no coding region annotated. Lineage: Eukaryota; Metazoa; Chordata; Aves; Passeriformes; Pipridae. The transcript is spliced from 6 exons. The record is from RefSeq and is a predicted model, not a curated record.
AGAGCACCCAGUGCUGGGAGUCCCACUCACCGCUCAGACGGUGAGACAGGGACUCACCACUGACACAUCCCACGUCAGAAAGGAAGGAGGAGGCCCCCCAAGGGAGGGAGCCAGCAUGCCUGCUGUGUCAACAAUCAGAAGCUGACCUGGACAUCUGUGGGGAACAACUCCAGAUAAAUGGGUUCUGUGCCCACGAGUUCUGCCUGGUGAGUUGCUUCAUGGGCUCCCACCAUGUUUUGACAGGCAGUCCCUGCCACUCUCUGCUCAUCAGUGUGUGUCAUUUUUUCUACAGUUUUUUACCAGCCACCUUCCUCAGCACAAUGAUGAUCCAGUAGGACUCUUUGGCUUUCUCCCAAGGGAUAUCCAAGAUGUAGUCUCCCGGGAAGCACAGAAGACCACCAUGAGGGGAGGGCUUGAAUGCAUUCACUGAGCCAGGAGAGAGACAGAGGCACUGUGAUGCCAGUGAGUGCCUUUGUCCAGGAGGCAGGCAGGAGGCAGAGGAGGAGGGGCCCUGGGAACUGCUCCUGUGCUCCUCCUGUGCUGCUGAGAGCACCCCCAGACACUGCUCUGGCCUGAGGGACAGCACAACCAGCUGGGACUCUGAUGGCUGUGCUGGUCUGGGCACAGCCUCCAGUUAAGACUCAGAGCUGUUGCUCUCAUGAAGAACUCUUCUGACAACUCGACAGAAUGCAAGACCAUCACCCCAGGACGAGCAAACUCCAUAUCAACCUACAGGCAACAUCGGAGGAGACUCUGGAAUCCCCCUCACAAAAGAUGAGCAUCUCCAGCCCUGACAGUCAGCAUUGUCAGACCCCAAAUUCAUCCAGCAGAUCCUGAAGUCACCGUGAGAGGAGCCGUGUCAGAGCACCCAGUGCUGGGAGCUCCACUCACCGGUGGGACAGUGAGACAGGGACCCACCGCUGACACGUCCCAUGUCAGACAGGGAGGAGGAGCCCCUCGAAGGGAGGGAGCCAGGUGAGAGCAAAGUGCCCCUCCCACAGCCUGGCAGAGGGGCU